Phrynosoma platyrhinos (Desert horned lizard) is the source of this 72-nucleotide non-coding RNA. The record is from the annotation of a GenBank genome assembly. Lineage: Eukaryota; Metazoa; Chordata; Lepidosauria; Squamata; Phrynosomatidae.
GCCAGUGUGGCAAAGUGGUUUGGGUGUUCGACUAUGACUCUGGAGGGCAGGGUUCGAUUCCCAGCUCAGCCA